RNAcentral lists this ribosomal RNA (468 nucleotides) under uncultured bacterium. Its description in RNAcentral is "partial 16S ribosomal RNA". It matches the Rfam family "Bacterial small subunit ribosomal RNA", at positions 28 to 507 of the family's 1533-position model. The record is from RNAcentral.
GACGAACGCUGGCGGCGUGCUUAACACAUGCAAGUCGAACGGAAAGGCCCUGCUUUUGUGGGGUGCUCGAGUGGCGAACGGGUGAGUAACACGUGAGUAACCUGCCCUUGACUUUGGGAUAACUUCAGGAAACUGGGGCUAAUACCGGAUAGGAGCUCCUGCUGCAUGGUGGGGGUUGGAAAGUUUCGGCGGUUGGGGAUGGACUCGCGGCUUAUCAGCUUGUUGGUGGGGUAGUGGCUUACCAAGGCUUUGACGGGUAGCCGGCCUGAGAGGGUGACCGGCCACAUUGGGACUGAGAUACGGCCCAGACUCCUACGGGAGGCAGCAGUGGGGAAUAUUGCACGAUGGGCGGAAGCAUGAUGCAGCAACGCCGCGUGCGGGAUGACGGCCUUCGGGUUGUAAACCGCUUGUGCCUGUGACGAAGCGUGAGUGACGGUAAUGGGUAAAGAAGCACCGGCUAACUACGUG